GCCAGAUAAAAUUAGAAAAUAAACAAGCUCUUCAUAGAAUUCGCAUACAUAUGUAUUUAGCCAAAAUAGUUUCUUAAAUGGCGAAUGCUAAAACAGACCACGCUUUGUUGUUAGUGUUAAGCCCCGCUAAAAUUCGAAUUUCGUAAAAUUUAUUACAUUUUUUUACUGUGAAUGUGAGUAUUUUAUACUUAAUUAGGAUUGAAAACGAUUUUCGGCUCAGAAUUAAAAAAAAAACGAGCUAACAGUAAGAUGGCAAUACUCGACUUUAAUCGCCAACUAACAGCUAUCAAUAGAUUGGCAUACCUUUGUCAGUCAUUUUUCCGAUGAUCUCAUACGGACUGCCAUACCUAUUAAUUGCUUAACAACUCACAGCGCCUUUAUAAUGUAUUCCCGUAUUUUGAACAGCUGAUUUCUCAGAAAUAUAUUUUUUUAUUACAUAACGAAUUUUAUAUACAUUUUACAUUUGUAUAAAUAUAUUAUUAUUUUGCUUCUUUUUUAGCAUUCUAUAUAUUUCACUAUAUCAUUCAUUUUUGUAAAGCUAAAAUCAUCAAAUAAACUAAUAAUAUGUCUUUAUAUUACCGUUAUAAUUCACUCCAUAUAAUGUAUAGGUUUAACUUUAUGAAUAUUUCCAAAGAAAUAUCCACUGGGGCAGUGAUCUGCAGCAACCUUAUUCAGGCUUUGUCUAAAUAAUAUGAUCGAUCAGUAUUCUUCCACAAACAGAAAUCCAUAUACCAUACAUAUGUAUAAGCCCUGAACUAGAAACAUAUUAACUGAUUUUUUUAAAACCGGACUUGUUCUGAGCGCCAUCUGAUGUUCUACAUAGGUUGAUGUUAUCUUUGUUAAUACGAAAAAUUAAUAACAUCUAAGUUUAUUACAUCAAUAAUUUUUUAUAACAUUUUUUUUAUUGUUUUUUAAAUCUAUAUUUAAUUGACUCAUUGUUUCUUUUAUCUUUACAGAACAUUUCCUAGUCUUAGCGGAAUAAUCAGAAAAUAUUACCAUAGCAGUCUAUUCACAAGGUACCGACGCAUGGUGCCAUAAUUAAGCGAAUUGAUACAUCAACUCUAUUCGUAGAAUAUGAACCUCAACAGCGGUAGCACCAACUAUCUGAGCAAUCCGGAAGCUGCCAAAUAGAAUUUCUUUGUGAAUCUCUUUGCGGUGGCUGGUCACUUGAUCAAGGAAAGGUCGGUGCACUUGCGCGAAGAAAAUUCAACGAUCUACAGCCGGUAGCCAGCAUACCGAAGGAAAUCAAAUCUUCAUAAAUUCAUUGCAAUAGGGCGGUCAGGUGCUCAGCGAAACUGAUCAACUGUACACGUUGCAGAGAAGGUGUAAAAUAGAGAAGGUUCAAUUACGGACCAGAGUGUAAAUCGUUAAAGCCUAACAAAAUGCGAUGAGCGUGUUUCAUCACAGCCAGCUAGGAAGAAGAAAUUUCGACAGGGUGACGUGAACAGAAUCACGCAUUGAAUUAGAAUUAAGCUCAGAAACAUACUUUGAUAUUACAGACGCGAUAUAACCUUUUCAUUAAUAUCAUUUUGCGAAAUUUUAUGAAUGCAAGUUAGCUUUCGGUGGUCGCUAAAGGUUUUUUUUUGAUAAAGAAUUGAUAAGGAGACGAUUUAAUUGUAGUGAGUUACUAAACUGAGGGUUAGGUCUAGGUACGAAAGCUCAGUUUAGGUCAGUAUAUAAAAAUGUUACUGCAAGAAACACCUCCAAAGCUUCAAAAUGUGUUUUUAUUGCAUACAGCACUGCAGGUGUGUAUAUUCUUUUACCAUAUCAAGUAUACUUUCUGGUAUAUUUACCUCAAUUAAAUAGCUUUUGUUAUUAAAAUAGAAAAUCGUUGACAGUUUAUUUACUAUAUCUUGCUUAAAAUGAUUCAAAGACUUUUUUGUUUCGUGAAUAUUUAGUCGCUAUUAUUUGUAUAAUGUUGGGUUUGCAUUAGUGAAUCCCUACAGUCACUUGUCAUACCUGAAAAAGUUAAAUACUUUUUUUAUACGUGUCUUUAUAAUCUGGAACUAGACUUAUUGGCGAAAGCUCCUCAAUAAAAGCUCUCGAUAUUACCAUUUUUACAAUAUAAUAUUUCCAGGCCUUUCAGUAUCAUCCCUAUGAAUGAACUUGAAUAUGUCAUUGUCACUGCCUUUCCAUAUUCUGACUCUUGUGAAUCAGGGGCGCAUUGAACAACGUCAGUUUCUGGCGCCUGGGCCCUGUUAUUCUAUCGGAUAUGUUUGGUCUGUUUCGGCCUUAUUUUUGAGUUAGUGAAACUAACGCGCUGCCUAAACCUAGGACAGGAGUCAACUUCCAUUGGCUCCGAUGUUUGUCCCUGGUGUUCUCUUUUGUUUUUUCUUGGUUUGUAUUAAAUUUUUGUUUUUUGACGAAAUGCGGCUUUCUUUCCUUACCGCGCCUCCUAUACUCUUCGUUCUGCAAUGGCUUUGGCAUAUGAGUUCGGAAAUAUACUGCGUUCUAUGUUAGCUUCUGUCUCUCUGUCCAAUGCCAAAGCAGAUGGUAGGUUCUUUGGUUGUUUUGGAAAGACAAUAGAUCUAAGCGGCUUCUUUAGACCAGAAAUGAAGACAUGAAGUGCAUCGGCUCUGACCUCCUUAUUAAGCCUGCUCCGCUUUAUGAGUCAUCACAAUUUUGUUGUUAACUAAUGUUAAUUUUUUUCAACCUCUUCGUAUUACUCCAUUAGACUUAGCUCAUCUCGUCUAACCAUUUCAAGUCCUUGCCUCAAAAGCCGUAGUGAGGUUUUGGCUAACAGCACUCUGCCCUAACUCUUGCACUUGAUUUGCAUUCAUUUCAAAGUGAACUUCGUUUGGUACUUGGCUUUCGCUAACUUCUGUGUCCCACUCAAUUUCACUUUGCACUCAACUUUCAUAUUUUAUAGUGUGUCAACCCAACUCAUAUUCGUAUGUGCUAUUACCUCGCAGAAUGUGUUUAAUUUCGAUCAAACCGCAUAAAGAUUUGACGUUUAACAUUUAAAGCAAAAAUCCUUAUUAUAAAUAUAUUAUUAAUUAAAUUCUUUUAAUGUGGUAACUUGAUAUAUUCACAAUACACUUGCCGCUGACAGCGGUUUUUUGUUUUUUUUUUGUGAUGCACGAUUUGAAAUUAUUUUAAAUAAACUUACAUAUGUUAAUAUGGGCAAUAAUAUAUUUCUAAUCCUAUCUUAAUGGUGUAGAUCCUUGUUGGUUGGACGCCAAUUAAGCAUGUUAAACAAGUAGAUUCCUAUGAUAGAGAUGAUUCGGCUAGUGCCGGAGCAAGUACCUAUAUUGUUAUACUUUUAACUUCCAAAUACAAACUGAAACUUAGGAUACUAAUUGACUGCAAGCCGACUCAGCAUAAGCGAUAACGUAGACAUUUGCAGCUACCGUCAAAAGGUUUGAAUAAUUCGUACGCAUCAACGGCUGAUUGCCUCCAUGCUACGUAUUCUUCUGACCAGCCAUUAAAUUCUGUGACUGAUUUUAUUAUGUCCGGAGGAAUAUUGCAAUUGAUCUGUGGAUCCACAAAAAUUCUUUUAUAGGGCUCAACUUGUGGUACUUCGAUACUCAAGUUAUUUACCCGCUCAUUCAUAGCGUUGAGCUAUGUUUGAAAUCUUUGUUAUUGCUGCGCUAAUGCUUCGCUAACAGCGGUGACUAUUAAUGCUUGCAUUUAGCUAUCGUUGUUUUCUAUGUCCCACUCAAUAUCACUGUCGCACUCGGUUUUUAUAUUGCGUAAGGCGUCUAACCAACUCAUGUGCUCAUGUGUAUAAAACAAAUUCUUAGCAGCGGCUUGAAUUUAUUUAGAAUAGAUUUGUUUUUUUUAGAAUAAUUAUUUUAGCUGACACAAAGUAUAUGCUUGUAUAUAUCUAUUUUUUUUUAAUAACUCGAUAUUUCACAAUCACAUCUGUUAUUGUUAGUAGUUUAUAACUAAUUUGGUGCAAGUAAUUUGGAGAAAAUCUUAAACGAACUUACAUGGUAUGGAAAGUAGAGUAACUCUAACACUAACUAGGGUGUGAAUCCUUGUAUGUUGGGCGCCAGUUAUCGGGUUGCGGUCCCGCGUUGUUGAUGGAAGCCUAACAACGCGUGCUAGCUUAGAUGUGUGCAGUCAAUGCACGAGAUGAUUAUAGUUAACUUCUUUGGUCUAUUACGUUGGGAGCUUUACUUCGCUCUCUUAUAGCUGGCCGUGUGGCUCAGUGGUCACAUGCCAUGUGACAUCUAUGUGAUUGGGAAGUUGGUACUUAUCAAAAGUAAGGACUCCGGUAUGUUUUGGUUUUCCAUCUAUGUUUUUGCAAAAUUUGUACACUUUAACAACUCCUUGGUCAGAUAAGUUUUUAAUGAUUUCCUCUUCACUUAGGUCGAUGAGGUAUGGGGCAUAUAUUUUGCCUUUAAUAUAAUUGAGUUUUUCAUGGUAUUUUGUAUUCACUUCACAGACACCGUAAAAAAAUUGAACGAAUGAACUUUUCGGCGGUUGAUUUGGCUUUUAGUAAUAUAUAUUUAUUUAAUGGUUUAUUUAUAUCAACGGACGAUAUUACAACGUAUUUGGGAUUUUUCACUUCUAUUUCUUGAAAAUUAGGAAAAGGCUCAAAUUGUUUUUUUUAUUUUUUUUUCGUUUUGGUUGGAGGUCAGAUGCCAGCAAGGCAAGUCUGUUAUCCCCAAGUUUGGAAAACCCGGGGGUUCUUAUGGCUGUUUCUUAUGCCCCAAAUAAUAAGUUUGUAAUUACUAUAAAUAUUUUUUUGUACUAGAAAUUUGGUACAGUGUUUAGAGUAUGAUGCAUGUUGUUGGUAACAGUUGAUGCAAAAAAUGCGUUCGCAAUCGGCUGGGGCAUGCGGAGAAUUCAUGAAUUUUUUCGCAACUCCGUUAUUUUUAACAUGCAGAAGCAAAUUUCCAUCUCGUAGGAUAGAUAUAGAGUGGAUGUAACUGCUAAUUUGCUUAAUAGCACGAUAAAUGACAAAGCAAGAAUAGGACGAAAGGGGUUUGGCCGUGUCAGUAGCUUCAAACACUACGAAUUUUAAGUCGUCAACUUUUACCUCAGAAAGCUCUGGAAAAUCCAUAAUCGAGACAUUUUUUACCAGUUUACCGUUUUUUUUACCAGGUCCCGUAUAGAGUAUGGCGAAACGAUUCGCCUGGAUGUUUUAAGGCCCCGCGGACAUUUUGAACGUGGAAACUGAUGCGCAAUUAUUCAAAAAGUUUCCGCUAGUGAACAGUAGAAAAGAAAAAGUAAAAAAGAAGAAAAGUCCGAAAAAGGGGAAAAAAUUAUCCGAAUAACUAAAUGUAAGUAAACUCGAAAAACACUCGGAAUGCGAAAGAGACGUCUUAUCGGCGUUUCGUUUUAUAUUGUACAAUUUACGUGAAAUAACAUGCGAUUCUAUAUUUGCUAGUUCACACAAAAACUUGAUUUCUGUAUAAAAAUUGUUUGAAGUUCUUGUAUGUAUUUUAAAACUUCGAGAACUGACGACUGCUUUGGCGGAUUAUCUUAUUUCUCAUUCUCCUCAACAUCAGCAUCAUAUAAAAAUUCUUCAACAAUUUAUAAAUCAGUAAGUUCUCCAGUACAUUCCGCCUUGUCGUCACAUGUUACGAAUUUUUCAAAUGUUUCUCUUAAAUUCUUUUUGAAUUCAAAUUCAUCGGAACUUUCAAUUUCUUUAUUUUCUCCUUCAGAAGGUUAAUACAUUUUUCGACUGUAAAUUAAUAAUUAUUUAUUACUAGAGGACCCGGUCCACGCGUUGCUGCGGCUACUAUUCAAUACAGUAAAAUUGUUUGAUUUGCUCUUAUAUAUCUUUGACUUGCAGUAUUUCGAGUUCAUCGGUCUAAGUUUGUACGUCUGCUUGGUGGCAUUUAUAAAAACGAAAGUCCAACUGAAAAUAAAAAAUUACUGCCUUAUAUUUUCUGUUUAACCAUGUAUGCGAAAUUUUAAUAUUGUGUAGUCAUCAAAAGUUACCAAAAAUCGAUAUUAAGCUGUGAACUUACCGUGAUUUACAAACACUUAUUAGCAAACAACAAACUUCUUAGUCUUUAAAAAAAAAACACUUUAUCAAAAACUUAAUAAAAUUAUUGGUAGCGCUAUGUUAGGUUAUGUGUGUCAGAUUACCAUAGAUUACUAAAUAGGUUAUGCUUACAUUAAAAUGAAAUCAUCACUGGUAUUAUUAAUAUUACCGUCAAAGUCGGUACAUUUAAUUGUGGCGAGUAAUUUUCAAAAAUUAUUAGAUUAGUGCAAUAGAAUUUAAUUAUGUAACCACAUUUUCCAACAAACGAUGCUCUUUCAAUAUAGUCUAUGGCUGUGAAUGACGAUGACAUUCGUUACGCGCUUUUUUUAAAAUAUGCAGAAUUAAAUGCAUUCUUUCAAUCUUUCUGAGACAUUUUCUUAAUAUUUUUUUCCGUAAGAACCUUCUACAGAAAAAAAAAACAACAGCCAAAUCGGUCUAGCCGUUCUCAAGUUAUGGCGUGACAACGGGAAAAGGGUUUCAUUUUUAUAUAUAUAGAUAAUUUAUUAUAAGAAAAAUAAAUUGACAAUAUCAGUUAUAUAACUAACUUUUUAAAACACUGUUUUAUAGUUGUUGGUUUAACCAUCCAGAGAAUGCGCUUUAUCAUAUGCAUUGCUUGACGAAUAUUGAUCGACUUCGAAAACGCAUCAAUUGUGUUCCCUAUAGCUGCAAUUUGUUUUCUUAUAAAGUUCUGCCUAUAAUAUGAUUUGAAUGAAUGAAUUAUACCUUAAUCUAGGGGCUGCAUUAUUGACGUUGUAUUUGUUGGCUUCAAAUUUGGAGGCUUUUGUGACAAGAUGCAUUAUCUACGAACAGGAUAAUUUUUCGAUUUUAUGAAGGCACUACUAAUUUAAUAUAAUUUGAGUCCAUAAAGCUUCUGUCAUCCAUGCUUUUUGGUUGAAGUAAUACUUUAGAGGCGGCACUUUAUUUUCACAGUAAAGUGGAAUUUAAGCUUUUCCGGUCUUAAAAAUCCUUUUGUGGUCACCUAUAUAUGGUGUCCGUGUUUUCAAAGGCUUUUUUUCAAACUCCUUGUUGCACUUAACAUAUUGUUCAAACUCUGCAGGUUUGUUGAUUGUGUGAUUAGCUUAUUAUUUUACUUAGCCUACCUCACACCUAAUGCUUAUUGUUGUUCUACCGGUGUCGCUUCCGUAGAUUUGCUAUUGGUGGGUAUGAUUUCGCUUACACAGCGCCUCAUGCAGAGGUUAAUGUUACUGUUGUGACAUCAACUCCACAAUUUGACCGUGCGAUUUGAUAUCACAUUUUGUCAGCAGUUAUCGUGUGAAAUUAUUUGUGAUAACUUAUGUAAAGAAGAAGUAAAGUGAGUUCUAAAUAAGGUAGGCUGGACAGGCGUCUGUCAUAAAAUUUAUUUUCUCGUUCUUUCUGCCGGUAGUGGAUUCCUGGUCCUCUGUUUUGACAUAAAAUAAUUUUUGGGUUUUCUUAAAACAUUUGAAGUAUUAUUGGAUGGCUUUACUAUAGACGUACUACCCGGUCGGCUGUUUAUGGUGGGGUUCUUUACAUUAUAUUCUUUAGAUAAACUGAAUAGUUGAUUAAGUUUAUGUUUUGCAUUCAAAGAGAAGAGCGUAUUCUUGGGGUGUCUAAUAAAUACAUUCGGCUCCUAAAGUGUCUAAUAGCGCGCUUGUUGCCCUGAAAUAGCCCUGUUCCUUUAUUUUGUCGAUUAACAACGAUGCGUAAAACUAUUCUACGCUAACGUGUUUUUGAGAUAAGGAUUCCAAUUCAUGUUCCAGAGUCAUUAGGCGUAUUUCAGUGCCAAAUAGUUAUUUACUCAAAAAUUCGAAAGUUUAAACUUUUUAAUGCUGCACAAAACUGAAGAACAUUUAAUACUUAUCUUGCAGCUCCGAGUUAAAAUCACUAAAUAUUGAACUAAAUCACUAAAAAAUCAAUUAAAGUUUAAGAAAUUUUGCAAAAUUACACACAAUAGUUCAGAGCAAAAAAAGUACAACUUUACAGCUUGAAGUGUUGCCACGCUGUAUGUAAAAUAGACUCGACAUUAUGAAUCCAGAAAAUGAGUUGAAGCGGCUCUCCUUCGAAUGUCGGGAGACUCUUCACACAGUUAUUCAGGCAAUCUACUAAUUUCGACUAGGUCUGCUUCUGUCACUGAUGAUGCCACUAGAUUGGCGUUGAUUGUUGAUUUGGUGGCUUUUGCACUUUUGUCGCUUUCACAGUUGAAUCCUUUUAUCGAAGUGUAUUAUCUUUAAGCGUUUUAUGAUGGUUGUCUGAGCUUUAAGUCUUUUCAACAACACAUAUUACAACAGUUACUCGUACUUAAACAUUUCACUUUAGUUUACUCAAUGCAAACUUAAUCAUUUGUUGCUGUUUUAGUAAAUAAUAUACCAUAUACUUUCUUUGGCUUUCAUCGAAAAUAUUCAAAUUUUUUAUUAUAAAUUUAAAGUCUCGGGCGCCAGUAAAUGCUGUACACCGCCCACUGAUGACAAUCGGCCUCAUUGGAUUACAAAAUUUAACUCAAGAACUUUAUUUAACAAAUUUCUUUUAUAAAAAAAAAACUCGCUUAUUUGCUAUGAAUUUACAUAUGUACGAGUUCUUAUUAGCUAGUACUUAUUUCUAUAUAUUCAAUAAGGAUAACGUAACCAAUAAUCGGAGCCAACCUCAGUUUGAUCGAGAAACGGCUUACAUUGCGGCUGCACGGUUUCCGCUUUGGUUUGGUGCCGACGAAAUGUGGUGUUGUUGUUAUUGCAAUUUUUGUAAAUAAACUUUAUGUUAUCACAUCAGAUAUAAUUGAUUACUUGCCUCGUGUGAUAACGGUGACACAGAAAAGUAUUUUAAUUUUCAACAAUAUUUAUUUUGGCGCCUUCAAAAUAUAAGUUAGGUUUUCUUCUACUAAAACCCGUAAAAAAAUAUAAAGAUAUAUAUUUUUUUAGUGGAGCGUAACUCCUUUAUUGGUUGGUAUAAUAAUUUACACUCAAUCUUAAUUCUAUUUUUACUUAACAUUAAGCUUAACUUCUAAAGCAGCGCUGCCGCUGUUGUUUACGGGAAACGGUUGACAUACCGUUCCCAGAGGAAACAAGUGUUCGGUCAGCACUUUUUAAUUGAGCGUGCAAUAUGGCCUUCAGGUGAAGAGUCGUAUUGCACUUUACGUAUAGUUUGCGAGUUUGAUAUUAUUAGGGAGGGAUAGCUUAUUUGUUGCUAACUUAUACUCCUUUCGAAGCGAUACAGAUAUGCCACCCUUUUUCCAUUCAUCGAAACAUGCCAUGUAGGCAUGUUCGAGAUCGCCUUCAUUUCCCUCUGCGAAUUUGCUUUUACGGCUCUCUCUCUAACACUCGCAUGACGAUUUUCGAGCACGAUUUCCUUCACUUUUUUGAUGUUAUCGCCAGUGGUAGACGUCAAAGAACGACCGGAACGAGGCAUGUCUUCGACAGUUUCUCGACCAUCCUUCAAGGUAUGAAAGCUUAACAUAUUUUCUAGCUUUAUUCGCUUAUAUUGUGGCAAACAGAAUUUAUUUAAUAAUCAUUUCAUGGAGCGAGUGUCUAGUAAACACCUAAUUUUAUUCUUGCCUGUAGUGAGUUCUAUUAGCGGUAGACAGGUCGAUGGGUGGCUGUGAAAAUUUUUUUCUCCAUGUGGUCUACCUCAAGUGGCUUUGGUGCUGUGUAAUUAUUGCACCUCAGUCUGGAUAGCCGAUCAGGUUGCCAAUAUUGCCUGGUGAAGCGAUCAUGUUGUACUGAGUUAUGAUAAUUUUGACUGUAUUGUCCUGAGAAAGGGUCCUGAAAUACAAUUGUUUUGUGUGAAUUGUUCAGAAGAAUGGUCCUGUUGUCUUGAAUUAUUAGAUUAGAUGGCCUGAAGUUCUGAAAUUCUGUCAAAAUUGUAUCAAGGUGCGUGACUGUCUGAUGUAGUUAUCGUGGAAGUAAACCUGUUUUUUUCGAGUGUAUAAUAGGCUUCCCUCUUCUUUUUCUUUAUAUGCCUAUUAUGAAUGAUGCUACGCAAUGUGGGUUCAUUGCCGUUCAGAAAUGUUUUUAAAAUUAAUGAUUCGUUUACGCUAGGAGAAAAUUCUACAGGUCUUGUUUGAUCGAAUUAGUAUUUAUUAUUUAUUUGAUAUAGACUUUAAACUGUUGUAGUAAUUACUCACGUUAGUAUAUUUUACACUAAUGGUUUGGUUAUAGACGCCGUGGUAAGUUUCUUUAAUUCCGAAGUUUUCGAUGAGUUUAGUUAGUAGUUUCGAUGCCAUGCCAUGUUGCGGAAGGACUCAAUGUCCGGAUGGCUUGAAAUGCUGCUCCCUGAAUAUUGGUCUAGAUGUGCCGCUCGAAGAUGAACUGCUUAAAUGCCGGAUUAUCAUCAAACAGUGGAAAAAUAAUUUCUACUUCUCUCAAGGAGGAAGAGAGAUCAUAUUCUUCGUUGAUGCCAUAAUACAGUUUUAUUCUUGCGGCUUUCUUUAUUAACUCUGUUGCUGAAACUUGGUUGGCUAUUUGUUAUAUAUUUCGCUUAUUUUGUAUUUUUUUUACUAAUAUAUAUUUUAUUUUUAUAUAUAUUCUUUUUUUUUUUUAUUUUGUAUCUUAGGAUACAGUUUUCUUACUAGGACUAAGCUUCAGUUAUUGUCCGUCUCACUCUGCUUUUUUUCGGUUGGACUUAAUUUUGAUUAUAGUUCCUUUAUUGUAUAUCUUAGGAUAUAACUUUGGUAAUUGUCCUUUCACUAUAUAUCUUUAGACACAUUAUUUUUUUAACCGAAUGGCGAUCGAUCGAAAAAAGAGGGGCCGUAUCCAGUCGUCGAUCCCUUUUGUUGGUUGGGUAGAGUGGUGAGAUCGUGGGUGUGUUGGUGUUGUGAUGUGUGUUGGUAUCCCUCGGUGAGUUGUGUAAAGUUGUAUGUAUUGGUGUGUGGUGUUUUCAGGAGUGGAUGGUAUUGUCGUGGUGUGUUGGAAUGUAUCAGUGUUGCUUGUAAAGUGGUGUGUGGUGCUUGUGCAGGGAUGUUUACUGGGAAGGCUUAUAGUUCAUUUAGCCAGCGACAAUUAGGUCGAAUGUACCGGCGGGAACCAAAAAAACAAAAACAAUUCGUUUAAUGUUGACGGUGUCACUUUAUUUUACAUUCUCCCGUUUUGUUUUUACAAUUAUUCGCUUAUAUUCUGCAAUAAUGUUUACUUAGCUGAAUAUGUCAUUUGGCUAUGUCAGCGAAAUUA
Molecule: non-coding RNA, 11076 nt
Organism: Bactrocera oleae (olive fruit fly)
Lineage: Eukaryota; Metazoa; Arthropoda; Insecta; Diptera; Tephritidae
Source: RefSeq, a predicted model, not a curated record